AAAGAAAAGAUAGAAAAGAAACAGAAUGAAACGAAACAGAGAGCAAGGAAGGAAAGAAAAGAAAGAAAGGGAGAAAAGAGAAAUUUGAGAUUUCAAGGUUUGAAAGUUUAAUUGUCAAUGUGGUACCGGAAAUCUCGGCUAAGAAAGGACAAGACAAAGUCAACGGGAGUUAGCUCGAAAAUUACGGUUAAGGUUAGACCGUUGAAUCAGCAUCCCAGGCCGAUCCCGAAUUCAAUGAGGUAAAGUAUGUUGAGUAUUGGUAUUGGCAUGUACCUAGGAUGGCUUAUGAGAGUCAUUUAGGUUGUGAAAGUAUUGAUAAAAUAAGUAAAUUAUGGUUGGCAAUGGUAUAUAGUAUGAAUUUGAAAUUUGAAAGAAAAA
This is a long non-coding RNA of Gossypium arboreum, 378 nucleotides long. RefSeq lists it as uncharacterized. The transcript has 2 exons. NCBI's taxonomy places the organism in Eukaryota, Viridiplantae, Streptophyta, Magnoliopsida, Malvales, Malvaceae. The record is from RefSeq and is a predicted model, not a curated record.